RNAcentral lists this long non-coding RNA (1451 nucleotides) under Equus caballus (horse). RNAcentral describes it as "lncRNA (ENSECAG00000044982.1)". Lineage: Eukaryota; Metazoa; Chordata; Mammalia; Perissodactyla; Equidae. The record is from RNAcentral.
GAUAUGAUCAUACUCUGGGCUCUCUCUCUCUCUUUUUACUCAUGCUCCAUGAAAAUCUUUAUUCCUCAACUCUGAUUGCAGAGAUAAAACCACUGACCCCACCUCAGACAAGGCUCCCAUUGAGGCUAUCAGGACCCGAAUACCUUUUCAUUGAGCCAAUGUCACUGAGAUGAAGCUGGACGCCUGAUCAUGUAGACAGUGAAAAAGACUUUGCAUUUUGUUCUAAAUCUUAUGAGAAGUCAUAAACGGGAGGGUUUUGCUCACAGGCACUCUCCUAGCGGCUGUGACUCAAGAAGCUCGAGGCUGCCCAACAUGCCAGGCCUGUGAAACCAUCUGAAAGAAGCAUAAGAUGUGCUUCCUGCCUUCAUGCAGCUUCAAACCUUAAUAAUCCACAGGGAGAGCUUUGAGACUUAUGGAAACCAUCAGACUGCUUUAUCUGACCAAACCUCAAAGGAGGUUGAACUGGGAAGAGAGAGUCUGUUGACUCCAAGGCCAUCCCCAGCCUCCCACACUCACUCCUGAUCCUUUGGGAAGACCUGUGCCUUCGCUCGUUCCUGUGGCAGCAGCAAUCCACCCCUUUCAGAAGCUGUACGUCUCUCUCCAGUUUGCGUGGAAUUCUUGGAUAGGACCCAAGUUCUACUGGGACUGGUACCUGAAGCAGAGAGAGGAUAGAGAGGAGAGGGAUGGACUCCUGCACCUGACCUCUUGGACUGGUUGGAAAAACUGAUUCAACAGGAAGUCAAGAGCUCCGACUCCAAAAGCUGACCUUUGGUGUGCGGAAUCCUGGCUCUGCUGCUCACUCCUUAGAUAAUCUCAGCUUUAUGAAGGUAUAAUUGAUAUACAAAAAGCUGCACAUAUUUAAUGUAUAUAUUUGAUGAGUUUGGACGUAUGCACACAUCUGUGAAACCAUCACCACGGUUUAGGAAAUAAACAUACGCAUCACUUCCAAAUGUUUCUUCAUGCCCUGCCUUUCUUUGUGAAAUUUUUCUUCAUAUCAAAGUUAGUAGAGACUUGAGCCUUGAACCCCCACGAAAGCUGGCUUGUGAAUAUAAAUCUUCAGAUGGAGACUCCUCACUCCAGCCAAAGACUGAUAAAGAAAGAAAACAGCAUCAAGAAGACUCAGAGAAAAACACAUCUCUGAAAAUGAGCUACCAGAGACCUCAGAAGAAAAUGACAGUUAACUGGAAUCCUUAGAAAGAUGAAAGAAAACAUGUUCUCUAAGAGUCAGAAGGCUACAGAGAGAAAAAGAGACGUUGAGAAAAAGAGAGAUAAAUGAAAUACAAACAGGACAACCAAAAAUCUGUAAUUUUAUUUGGAAGAAUAAAUAUAUAUAAAAAGUCAAGAAAUUCUUGAAAAUGGAGAGUAUAGAGGAGGGAUUUGUUUACCAAACACUGAUAUAUUAUUGUAUUAAAUUGAGUUCCCUGGAAAACAGACUCUGAGGUUGAGAAUAG